RNAcentral lists this long non-coding RNA (5454 nucleotides) under Nasonia vitripennis (jewel wasp). RNAcentral describes it as "uncharacterized LOC116738491". Lineage: Eukaryota; Metazoa; Arthropoda; Insecta; Hymenoptera; Pteromalidae. The record is from RNAcentral.
AGCUUUCUUUGCGUUUGCAGAAAUUCGUUAUGCGGAUGGCACAAAUCAAACUGUCAUCCAUACCUGUAAUCACGCCGACAAUGUUGCGCGGGUUAUUAUUUUAAUUGUUUCCUUGAAGAAGAAGACGAAGCGAAGAAGAAGAAGACGAGGUGCUCCUGAAGCUUCUUUUACUGCCCUCGCACAUGCGGGAGAGCGCGUUUUCUCGAGGAUGUAUAAUUAUAAUGCGGUUGCGUUCGCCGCACUUGGCGUGCCGAGUUAUUAUACCGUCCCCCCAGCUUAUAGACAGGUUAAUUUAGAUAUCGUAAAGCCGUGCCGGGACGAUAACUCUGUAUUGACUUUAGUAAUCGCUGUGUGUAGAGCAUCGGCUAAAAAGGUGGGAAGAGAAGAAUCUCGCAAACAAACGAGAGAGAGGAUAAAGAAAAAAAAACGAGAGAGAGAGGGACAAGCGACUGCAGCGUCGCCAAAAAUCCCUCCGACUUCAUUUCUCUCCCGCAGCGCUGCUCCUCUUUCGUCGCGGCUCUUGAGCUUUGUUGACGGCGAUUGUUCGAAAGACGUCGCGCUUGCACUUGGCUCGAGUCCACGCCAGCAUCACUGUAUAUUAUAGUCCCGCUGUGUUUGUUUGCGUCUCCCGCACCUACGCGGCGGGUUUGAUAUUCCGCUUGUUUGUCGGCGCCCGCUUUGAUUCGCCGAUGAUUGAGACGUAUCCCGAGAAGAUAUGCGCGCGUUUCGCUUUCGAUGCGUAUAUAAUGAUAAUGCGAGAAAGAAAAGCGAUGCGCCGGGAGAAAAAAGAGCUGUGUGUUCUCGAAACUUGCGUCGUCGACCGUAUGCGCACGCACGUCGCACGUGCGAAUAAUUUUUCCGUUCGAUGAUCCCGUCGGCGCAGCAACAGCGCCAUUCCCUAUACACUGCUGCAGGAUGACGCGCGUUUCGUGCGUAAGGUCGUGGUUAUGUGCAUUAUAUGUAUACGACACUCGACUUGGUCAUCAAGGACUCGUCGCUCUCGUCGCAGCAUAGGUCGCCGACUUUUCACUGCAGGUAUUUACUUGCGCGCGCAGGUGGACCUUCCUCCUUAUCUUUUAUUUGACUUUUUAUUCCACACGCGGACAUAUACACCGCCGCCAGAUUUCCUUCACUUUUAGAGAGAGAUGCGGGCUCUGCAAUUUUUCAGCUGCGCUCUCGAAGGCUGCGAUUGUUUCGCCUGUGUGCGGGUUGCCUUUUUCAGUAUUAUACAUACAUGCGCGUUUAAUGAAAAAAAAAAAAAAAUGUUAUUGCAUUCGUGCCUUUUCCGUCGCUCCUACAACGUUGUGCAAUUCACGGAAGCCCGCGCGAAAUUCCUGGAAAAGUCGCGCGCUUUCCGUAAACUGCGGGAGGGGCCGUUUCGUGGAAGAAGUGUACUCGAGGUACGACGCAGAGUGUAGUAGCUUUCACUGUCUCUCGACGGGAGCAGCAGCUGUAUACUGCAAGUAGAUAGAGGACUGGGUCGAGUCAGACGUGUGCGGUUUAUUUUAUUUUUAAACCCGGUGGAAUAUAAAGAGCGAGGCGCGCGCGCGGCGCCGGAUGCCUCGCGUUGCUUUCCCGCAGGAAAAUUCAACGAAUGAACGGUCGGCCGCUCCGUUUCUAUAGCCUUUCUUUAUUUUUAUUCGCGGGCCUUUCUCGAUCUUCCAUUUGCCGCUGAUGUCACACGCUACGCACCGUCGGACUGUCCGAUUUCGUGUAAUUUUAGAUCUACAAGAGAGCGACAGCGCGAAUCGAAUAAAAGUCGAAGAAGCACAUCUUGUACGAGAGUUACUCGGAGAGUCACACAGAACGCUCUCGCGCGAGCGAACGAGCGAGCGAGCGAGCGACGAUGGCGCUUAUAUACGUGUGUGCAGAGUGCGAAGGAGUGGUUGGCCACCCCUGGCCUGGAUACCGCGGCGUGUUGUUCACCUCUCCGCGUGUGAAAGUACUCGCUGCAGCGCAAGCGCGUGUGGGCAGUCGCUACGCACACACACACACACAAUCGCGCGCGCUGCUAUCUGUCUCUCUUUCGCUGCGUGUCAUAACGAGAUGCAUCGGGCCGGCUGGAGGAGAGGCGGCCAGUGUGUGUGUUUGUGUGUGUGUUCGUGUAUGUGACAAGCGGAUAGAUAGACACCGGCGCGGCGGAGACAACGAGUAAACACACUAAGUUUAACCGACUAUAGCAAGAGAGAGAGAGAGAGAGAGAGAGAGAGAGAGAGAGAGAGAGAGAGAGAGAGAGAGAGAGAGAGAGAGAGAGAGAGAGAGAGACAGAUAAAGCACUGCUGCCGCUGAGAAACAAACCGCUCGCGCGCGCACUACGCUGCAGUAGUGCGGAGAAGAAACACGUCGAGAGAGUGAGAGUGCGCCGCCUGCGAGCGGCGGAUAAUGAUGAGAGAGCGACUCGUGCGUGCGCACACGAGGAAAAAGAGCGACCCAUUGCCUGGAAAAUAUACGUUUGUUUUUUUUUUCAACGUACUCCUUUCUUUUUCGGACGAGGAGAGGGAAGUACGACUUUUCCUCCUACGUUGCUGGGAAAAAGUGAUUAUUUUUCUGAAAAAAACAAACGCGUAUCACACAUUGGAUCAGCUAACGCCGUAGCGUACGCGUGGACGAGAAGAAAAAUGUAAACACCGCCGUAACAACUUUUGCCGCUUGCGCAACAUUUUCUUCUCAUUAGCGGUAACAAAUAGUUACGAAAAUUUUGAAAGUAGAAAACUGCCAACUCCACGGCGUUCGGUGUAUCUAUACAGGCACACCACACACGGACACACGGCCACAAAGCUCGAGCUAGCGGCUAUAAAUAAAUGAUUGAUUAUUACCUGACCCGCUAUUUUUACACCCAACACUCUAUAUCCGUAUUCGCCCCGAGAAAAGGCUUUAGAGUGUGCGCCGCGGAUACCAAACUCGGCGGCUCACUCUCUCGGAUUAUAAGAUAGUCCUAUCGAUAGUCGAUGCCGCGAACAAAAGAGAGAAUACAGCUGCCUACGCGCGCGUUCUGGAGAAAAAGGGACGCGUGAUCCAUCGGCCGAUGACGUCAGGCUUAUAUAGUUUCGCAUUACUGGCCUGCAUAUCGUCACCUGCGACGGUGGUCGCGCCUCCGCAUAGGUGACCGCAGGACACUCGGCUGCGCCUCGAAUUCUCGUGGGAACGAUCUAGUUGCGAGGAUAUCUGUUCUUCUGAAAAAUAGGUCGUCGGUACAUUUCAAUUUGAAAGUGCGAAGUCGGAGCUUGCGCCCGCGAAGUCUUACAGUGCUCGGCUUUUUCUACUGCGAGGUGUAGUUUAAGCAGACCUUUAACUCUCUUUCUUUUAUCGGUGACUUAUGACAAAUAGCGGGAACUAUGCUGCUAUUAAUUUUUCAAAAUACUCCAACAGCAAUCGAACUCGAAUUCGAAAUCGUUCACCGCAGAGAAAAGCGGCAAAGAGCUCAAUACGUCAAGUCGGACGAUCAAUACAGUAUAGGCCGUAUUCAAAGGAACACACACACGGGUACACAAUGCUCGGCGUGGAAAAAGAGCUGGAACGAAGCUCGACUUCUGCGGGAAAAAGCAUAAUAGCGGCGCCAGCGUCGAAGGAACAGCCGUGGUAGUGUGCUGCACGAGAGCUCGGAGGCGCGCGCGCGGAUGUACCGUUAGGGCAACGCCGCUGCAGCGGCGCCGGUUAGUGUGGCAGUGUGUUAGCCGAGCUCGGUGUAUACCGCCGCUGCUGCUUCUCUUUUCUCUCGCUCUCGCACCGUCGAGUCGUGCGGCCUUUUAUUCCGCGGUUUUCGUGACGUUGCUAUUCGGUCUUUGGGUUGUACUGUGGAAGAAAGUUUUCUUUUUAUCGAUUUUAUUGGGAAAUGUGUGAUAACUAAACGCUUGGAUCACUUCUUUUUAAAGUAUCGUGGAUUUAAUAAUCGAGAUAGCUGCAGGAAUGGUUAAUAACAUAAUAACACCGUACGAAGAAAAAAAGGCUGACGACUAGUUCACAAUGUUGUUAAACACAGCCAAUACUGAAAAUAAUUUUAAAAAAUUCAACACAACCAAUAAUGAAGAUUUUGAAGCAGUCGAAAAUAUAACCUUUGCUUCAGGUGCACACCAGGGAAAAGGUGCAAGAUGUAUUGCAGUAUGUUCUUGUGCAUUAAAUGCGUUUAUUUCAACCUAAGGAACCAUAUAUAAAAUUAGACAAAGUGGCCGACAUUAACUCUGCAGGCAACUACAGCAUAAGCGGCUGAAGCGGUGUAUAACAAAAGGCAGUUUUGGUAUAGGUGACAUACCGCUAUGUAUAAACUAGGUUUGCCAAUAGCGAUGAGAGAAAUGAAAAACCGCUACUGCGCCACCUGUCGUCAAAGAUUCAGACUCGGAAAGUUAAAGCGUAUCGGGAAGGGAUCAGUUCCAAACUAUACUUUGUUUUGCAGUGUAUCGCAGUCUCCCCACAAUAAGCACAAAUCCAAAUUAUCAUUAAUCUUGAAUAGCAUUUUCCUACGGUUCACUUCUAAGUGACCUUCCUAAAUUUACAUUUCAAAUUUACAUCGUAUACGCGACCAUCGAAACGCAAACAACAUCUUUUCAUCUCAAUACAGUAGAGAUCAUGCGCCUAUCGAGUGAAAAUCGAAGAAAAACAAAGUCAUUGCGCUCGCUGGACUCCGCCUCUCCAGCAGCAGCUUAUAACUCAAGACAAUUUUUCCGCGUGCACAAUAGUCUCGUCGAGAUUUUCCUCCUCUCCUCCUCUCUCUCUCUCUCUCUCUCUCUCUCUCUCUCUCUCUCGCGUGCCAAGCUCCGCCGCCGCCGAUCAUGGCAACGCUUGGAUCGUCGCGAUUGACACCGUGACACAGCAAUGUCACACUCGCACGCGCACACAUGACCACACAGAUCUAUUCUCUAUCCCCUCCCCUUUGAUUCUCGACGUUAAAAGACAAUUAAUCUGAAUAACGUGCGUCGCGGCGCGGUAGCCUAGACCCGCUGCUGUGGCCCAAUGUGGUUACUCACACCGGCCAAAAUGUGUCGUCACGUGCGUGCGCGCGAGCGUUCAGUAGAAAAUCUCUGUAUUUGUGUAUAGAGCUGCGGCGCUCGAUUAGAACAUUUUACGAGCGCGGGGGUCCUUUUUAUUGAUUCAUUAGGCUGAAUUUUACGAGCGUCCAUUAGAAUAUUUUGUUGCGCUAAUGCUGCCAUUGUGCGAUACACACACUCACGCCGCUGCUGCUGAAUGGCCGGAUUGAAGUUUAUUGCCCGCGGCUGAUUUAUGUGGCGCUAGUUGACUCUAUAUAAUACACAACGCGGCGGGGCUUGCUGCAGAAAAAAAUUUUGUCUUUCCGUUAAUGGAUUAGCUCGUCACCUCGAGCCUGGCUUUUAUGACCGGCUUUGUUGCGCCGAGCUGUGUAAUGUGCCGGCUUUUCUUCUCGCCUCUGAUGAUGCCUGUGUAUUGUGCGUUUGUUUGCGCUACUGCUAUAUGCCGUCGCGGCUCGUCAAAGCAUGAAAUUAA